GGACCCAUAGCUCAAAGGUAGAGCAGCCUGCUCAUAACGGGAAGCGUGGUGGUUCGACCCCACCUGGGUCCA
RNAcentral lists this transfer RNA (72 nucleotides) under Pseudomonadota bacterium. RNAcentral describes it as "tRNA-Ile". It matches the Rfam family "tRNA". Rfam says of the family: Transfer RNA (tRNA) molecules are approximately 80 nucleotides in length. Their secondary structure includes four short double-helical elements and three loops (D, anti-codon, and T loops). RNAcentral also lists the same sequence under 1 other name. Lineage: Bacteria; Pseudomonadati; Pseudomonadota. The record is from RNAcentral.